Molecule: long non-coding RNA, 2797 nt
Organism: Ailuropoda melanoleuca (giant panda)
Lineage: Eukaryota; Metazoa; Chordata; Mammalia; Carnivora; Ursidae
Exons: 3
Source: RefSeq, a predicted model, not a curated record
GCAGUAUUUGGCUAGAAGUGAAUAAUAGUACUUUGUUCUUUUUUCUAAUUAUGUUUAGUUUUAUGAAAAAAAGCGAUACUAAUUUCCUAUCUGUGGAAGUGACAAAAAAUUUUCUUUUAACAUAUGCUUAAGUUAAACAAAGUGUAUUUAAGGAAAAGCAGUAAAUCAGUUAUCUAUCGCUGUUUAACAAGCUACCCCAAACAUAGUGGCUUAAGCAAUGAUGGUUUAUUAGGAUUCUAUGGGUUAGCUAGGCUCACGUGGGCAAUUUUUCUCCUCCAUGUGAUGUCUGCUGGCGUCAUUCCUUCAUCUUGACAACUUGGAUGGUGCUGGAAGGUCCAAGAUGCCUUCCCUCCUGUCUGCCAGCCCAGCUGGAGUGGGUGGAAUGGCUGAAACUGGCUGAGCCUCUCUCUCUCCACGUGGCCUCUCAUCACUUAGUAGCCCGGCGGGGCUUUUUUACAGCACGGAUGGAUCUCCGGAGAUUAAAGAAGAAAGCUGCAACGUCUCUUAAGGCCUGGACCUAGAAGUCAAAAAACAUUACUCCUGCUACAUUUCAUUGGUUAAAGCAAGUGGCAGGACAAGUCUAGACCCAAAGGGCGGAGAAAUAGAAUUUACAUCCUUUUGGGAGGUUAGUGGCACACCUGUUCAGAGAUGGAAAGAAUCUUUGGCGAUAAUUUUGCAAAUAACCUAGCACAAGUGAUAAGCAAGAGGGCAAAUUGUAGCAGAUAUGGCAAAAAUUGUGAGUGUUAUUCAGAUGACUGUAUUUGGAAAUGCUAUAUUAAUCUAAUACCUACAUAGUGCACUAGAUAGUCCAUUACCUUUUUUAGUACCGUGUGCAAGCCAAAUGCAGUGCUACACACAAAGGGAUUGAAGGAAGAAGAUAAAACAUGGUACAAAUGUGUCCUAGAAUGGCAUACACUCUAGUGAGGAAGACAGGUGUGUAAGUAAAGAGUUAGAACAAAAUAACCAUGAGGCUUGUUAUAGUAAAGGGUUUAAAAUAUAGAGUCCUGACAUUUUACAUAGAAGUUUAAAAGCUUGUGGAUUUUGGGGGGGCUUAUGACCUUUAUCAGAUUCUCAAGAAAGUGUGAGACCCUAAAACGACCUAGAAAGCACUCACUGAAUCAAGAGACAUACGGGUGUGAUGUUCAGGGAUGACAGCUGCCAACCGCAGUGGUGAGGGAAAGGCGUCACAGAGGCAGUGACACUUUCGGGUGGGAAGGAGCCAUGACCGAAGAGAAAAAGCUGGCUUGAGUUGGAAGCCACUUAGAUGGGCGAGGGGAUGGAUGAGAUGCACAAAGGGAAAGCAGGAGGAAAAUGGUGAAAGAGGAUAGGAAUGUGGGGAGUUGGAGAAAGAAGAGAGAGAAGUUAAUUCUAGGAUGACCGAAUUUUCUAGCUGGGGAGAAUGGUAGAUGGUAGAACAUAAAUGAGGAAGAGUAGAUUUUCUGGGAACUCUUCGCAGAAUUCAGCUUUUUCCAAGUUGUAAUUGAGGCGCCCACAUGCUAAACCCAUAAAUAAUUGGAAACAGAUCUGGAACUUUCCUACCUUGUGCCAGGCAUCUUUAUAGGAAUUGGGUAUAAAACAGUGAGUAUCCUAAGAGAGGUGAUGCCCAUGUUCCCAUGGAGUUCAUAUUCUAGGAGGGCUGGGGUCUGGGGGAAGAUGGGCACAGAGACAAUUAGGAUGUAAAAAGUUCAUACAAAUUGUAUCUAAUGUUAAGUGCCAAAAAUAAAAUAAAUCUAAUUAAUGAAAUAGAGAGGGUUGGGGCAGCUACUUUAUCUAGGGUAAUAUGGUAAUUGAAGUCAGCUUUUUGGAAUAUAACCCAAAGCUAGCUGGGAGGCCCUUCUAACUUAAUAAGGUAGGGAAAUGAUACUAACAGAUUAACUUUUGCAAUGUGAGUUGGUCUCACCCAGAGACCAGAUCGUUGUGAGGGACUCCUCCCCAGCCACCUCCACCCACAGACAUCUGAAUCUUCCCUGUGUAGCCAUGGAACCAUGGGGAGUAGAUAAGGAGUGUAACUAGAAACCCGCUCUGAUGGUCAGGAUACCAGAGAAGUGGAGACCACAGGGAGAGAACUCUAGGGGAAAGGAAGAGUAUGCAUAGAAGAGUGGCAAUGGGGGGCUACUCACUGGCUGUUGCUGGGGUACCAUCUGGGUUUUGGAUGUGUUGCUUUGAGGUAGUGGUAGGACAUUAUCCUCUCUCACCAUCCACAGGCAGUUGUCUGAACCCUGGGUUGAGAAUAGAGUUGCCUCUGGAUCAGUCCACCACCGGGAGACAUUGUCUUCUGAUCAUUUUACUCCAUCCACACCCAGAAAUUCUUACUGGCACCUCUUCGUGUGCUGCUGACUUGGGCAGUCCCCGGUGCCCAUGCUUUGGACGUGGACUAAUCACUAUCACCUGGCCCUUUGUUGUGGAUGGAGGUUCCACUCAGGCGUGUUGGACAGAAGGCACCCUCCCUUGCUGCCAUGUUUUACCCUAGCCCCUCAUUAAUCUGUUCAAGAAAUCACUUCUCUUUCUACCCCUAAUUAUGCCUCCGGGUACUUUACGAUCCACACAGGAUUUAAUUUGAAAACUGAAUGUAGUCGACAUGGAAGAUUGAAAACUCUGGAUUUAGUUCUCUUGCCUCUCUCACUUUGCUGGCAUAGAGCUUGUCAUCGAAGACCAAGAGUCAGUAGGUCAAUGGCCCAAUACAAUAGUCCGUGUCUUUUAUGCUGGAAAUAUCUGUAGAGAGGGAAUCUUAGACUCCUAUAAGUGAAAUUCUUAACAAUACUAAUUGUUUGCUUACCUGCAAUGUACGGAUUGUCAA